CUCCUCCGGUGGGGGCAAGAGAGAGAGAGAGAGAGAGAGAGAGAGAGAGAGAGAGACGACAACAGCGAUGGCCUCGCUGGGGCGGAUGGCGAUGCUGCUGGUUCUCGCGGGGAUUCUGGUCUCCGCUUCUCCGGCGGCGGAGGAAGGAGUACUCAGGAUGAAGAGUUCUGAUGGCGGUUAUUCUUACAACCAUACUCUUGCUCAUAUUCUUGUCGAAUAUGCAUCCGCUGUUUAUACAUCUGACUUAACAUCACUUUUCACAUGGACCUGUCCAAGGUGCGAAGGUCACACAAAGGGUUUUGAGAUGAUAGAGAUAAUUGUAGAUGUGGAGAACUGCUUACAGGCAUUUGUUGGAGUAGCCCCUGAUCCGCGAUCCAUAAUCAUUGCGUUUAGAGGCACUCAACAACACAGUGUCUCCAACUGGAUUGAAGAUCUCUUCUGGAAGCAGCUCGAUGUGAUUUAUCCAGGCAUGCCUGAUGCAAUGGUCCAUCAUGGAUUUUAUUCGGCAUAUUAUAAUACAACUCUGCGGCAUGAGAUCUUGAAAUCUAUUCAAUGGGCAAGGAAAACAUAUGGAACACUACCCAUAAAUGUUGUGGGUCACUCCAUGGGAGGUGCUUUAGCUUCAUUCUGUGCCCUUGAUCUUUCUGUUAAGUUUGGAUCACAAGAAGUUGAGCUCAUGACUUUUGGACAGCCUCGGGUAGGGAAUCCUGCUUUUGCUUCAUACUUCAGUGAACAAGUCCCAAGAACAAUCCGUGUGACCCAUCAGAAUGAUGUUGUGCCACAUUUACCACCGUAUUAUUAUUACCUAGGUGAAUGGACAUAUCAUCAUUUUGCCAGAGAGGUUUGGCUUCAUGAGACCAUAGAAGGAAAUGUAGUUACCAGAAAUGAGACAAUCUGUGAUGAUUCUGGUGAGGACCCAACCUGCAGCAGAUCGGUCUAUGGGAUAAGUGUAGCAGAUCAUCUUGAGUACUACGGCGUCACACUACAUGCUGAUUCAAGGGGAACCUGUCAAUUUGUGAUUGGUGCAGCCAACUCAGCAUACAGUUACAUUCGUGAAGUUGAUGGAACCAUCAUCUUGUCAAGAUAUCUGCAAGAACCACGUGCCCUAGAAUCUAUGUAACUUUUUAUGCCAGGAAAAUACACCCUUGUACAGUAUUUUGUUUUCAUUUUGUGUAUAAUUCAUGAAAUGUAGACAUGCUGGGUGCUCAAGGAGCUCUCCUGAGGAUAAGGAGAGGCUCACCUUUUAAAUGUGCCCCCUUUGCUCAAGUGAGAAUUGCACAUAUAUGCAUUCGCAGAUCAAAGAAUGUAGCCCAUUGCAUACAAGAGGAGCCAAGAACUGAUCAAACUCAGGGAAGAAUCUCAAGAUGCAAAGUUCUACAGAUGGUCAGCACUGCCAAGGCAGAUCUUGAGGAUAAGGAUACAUAUCUAUCCAGAUAUUCUCCAUUACCAUCUGCUUGUCCUGAGGUUUGCAUCAUACAUAAGAAAAUGCAUCGGUGCAUGUCAACGGUGACUGUACCAUAGCAUCCCUUACACAGCAUGUGCUGAAGAUAUGUAAUGCAAGAUUGCACGGUCGGAUCUCCGCGCCAUACCAUAGCAUCCCUUACACAGCAUUGAUGAUGUGCUCAGGAAUUAUGGUGAAAAUCUUCAGAGGGAACAAGAUAUAGCAAAUUGCGCAGAUUUAUCUGAUAAGGUCUGGCUAAUGAUUUGAUCAGCAAUAAUGGCGAAACUAUUGAGAAACAAGAGAUUGCAAAUGGGGCAGAUUCUGCCGCUGCGGAUAAGGUCAGAAGAGAGAGUGACUGUGCGAGGGACUGAAUGAGACUGCAAGCUCUCUGUCUGAAGAUGCUAUUCUGAACAUGAAGAGGAGUCUGAUCCCACCUAUGGAAAGUGGCUGCUCUUAGCUGGAGGAAUGAGAUCCUUCUGUCAUACUGUCAUGUGACAAAGUGUGGUCGUGUUGUUGUCGGCGCCAUUUUCUUUUUUUAUGGACUUCUGUGUUUGGUCUGAACUCUCAGGUUAUCAGUGAUGCAGGGCAUGUUUCAGUUUUUCACAUAACUGAAGGGGAACAGUGGCAACUACUAGUUACACGAAGUUUCAGAUUGCAUUUUGUUGGCAUGCAUUGCACCCCAAGAGCAGAACAAAGUUGCAUUGUGCUCAUAACUUUGAGCUUAUCUCUACUAUGUUUACAUGUGUAAAUCAAUACUUUAACUGUAUGUGCAAGUGUUAAUACAUGUAUCUAUAUCCUUCCAAGACUGUGUGCUUAUAAACUGUAAGUCUGUAACCAACAA
RNA transcript from Phragmites australis (common reed), 2282 nucleotides. It is a transcript of the gene named lipase-like, with no coding region annotated. The transcript is spliced from 11 exons. The record is from RefSeq and is a predicted model, not a curated record. Lineage: Eukaryota; Viridiplantae; Streptophyta; Magnoliopsida; Poales; Poaceae.